UGUUGAUGAAAGCAUUAACAGAGACAAUGAGUGUGCCCUCUGACCUGCAUCAGAUAAGUGGAUGUGCUUCAUACUUCUCACAGUCAGGAGUGGUGAACUUUGGGGUCAAGCUGGAGGGCUGUACCAAAUAGAGGGACAUCAGCAAUACCACAGGGCAGGAGAAUCUUAUCGAUCCAAUUAGCACUAACACAGAUCACUUACACAAGACUGUGAGUUCUCUAAAGAUCCAGAAAGCCAAGGUCCACGCUCUCUACAGAUGCUUGACUUCUAACAAAGCGGGACAAGAUUCACGAAACAUCCUUUUCCAUGUGACACAUGUUGUAAUGGCUGGACUUGCUCACCGGAUGGAAGCACUGGGGGAGUUGAAUUUCACAGCAUCGUACUGGACAUCCUCUUUCUGGGGUUGAGGCAGUUGGACAGUGGAGUACAGAGGCACUUCCUGGU
This is a long non-coding RNA of Coregonus clupeaformis (lake whitefish), 444 nucleotides long. RefSeq lists it as uncharacterized. Lineage: Eukaryota; Metazoa; Chordata; Actinopteri; Salmoniformes; Salmonidae. The transcript has 4 exons. The record is from RefSeq and is a predicted model, not a curated record.